This 543-nucleotide ribosomal RNA is filed under the name uncultured bacterium. RNAcentral describes it as "partial 16S ribosomal RNA". It matches the Rfam family "Bacterial small subunit ribosomal RNA", at positions 355 to 890 of the family's 1533-position model. The record is from RNAcentral.
UAGGGAAUCUUCCACAAUGGACGCAAGUCUGAUGGAGCAACGCCGCGUGAGUGAAGAAGGUUUUCGGACCGUAAAGCUCUGUUGUUGGUGAAGAAGGAUAGAGGUAGUAACUGGCCUUUAUUUGACGGUAAUCAACCAGAAAGUCACGGCUAACUACGUGCCAGCAGCCGCGGUAAUACGUAGGUGGCAAGCGUUGUCCGGAUUUAUUGGGCGUAAAGCGAGCGCAGGCGGAAGAAUAAGUCUGAUGUGAAAGCCCUCGGCUUAACCGAGGAAUUGCAUCGGAAACUGUUUUCUUGAGUGCAGAAGAGGAGAGUAGAACUCCAUGUGUAGCGGUGGAAUGCGUAGAUAUAUGGAAGAAUACCAGUGGCGAAGGCGGCUCUCUGGUCUGCAACUGACGCUGAGGCUCGAAGCAUGGGUAGCGAACAGGAUUAGAUACCCUGGUAGUCCAUGCCGUAAACGAUGAGUGCUAAGUGUUGGGAGGCUUCCGCCUCUCAGUGCUGCAGCUAACGCAUUAAGCACUCCGCCUGGGGGAGUACGACCGCA